Molecule: ribosomal RNA, 447 nt
Filed under: uncultured bacterium
Lineage: Bacteria
Description: partial 16S ribosomal RNA
Rfam family: Bacterial small subunit ribosomal RNA
Source: RNAcentral
AACGAACGCUGGCGGCAGGCUUAACACAUGCAAGUCGAGCGCCCCGCAAGGGGAGCGGCAGACGGGUGAGUAACACGUGGGAACCUUCCUAGAGGUACGGAACAACUCAGGGAAACUUGAGCUAAUACCGUAUACGCUCUUGCGAGGAAAGAUUUAUCGCCUUUAGACGGGCCCGCGUCGGAUUAGCUAGUUGGUGGGGUAACGGCCUACCAAGGCGACGAUCCGUAGCUGAUCUGAGAGGAUGAUCAGCCACACUGGGACUGAGACACGGCCCAGACUCCUACGGGAGGCAGCAGUGGGGAAUCUUGGACAAUGGGCACAAGCCUGAUCCAGCCAUGCCGCGUGAGUGAAGAAGGCCUUCGGGUUGUAAAGCUCUUUUGCCGGGGACGAUAAUGACGGUACCUGGAGAAUAAGCCCCGGCAAACUUCGUGCCAGCAGCCGCAGUAA